UGCGUAGGCGGGCUAAUAAGUCAGUGGUGAAAUCUCUCGGCUCAACCGGGAAACUGCCAUUGAUACUGUUAGUCUUGAGUUCGGUUGAGGUAGGCGGAAUGUGUAAUGUAGCGGUGAAAUGCUUAGAUAUUACACAGAACACCAAUUGCGUAGGCGGCUUACUAGACCGACACUGACGCUGAGGCACGAAAGCGUGGGGAGCGAACAGGAUUAGAUACCCUGGUAGUCC
Molecule: ribosomal RNA, 229 nt
Filed under: uncultured bacterium
Lineage: Bacteria
Description: partial 16S ribosomal RNA
Rfam family: Bacterial small subunit ribosomal RNA
Source: RNAcentral